GAAUCCCGUAUAUGGCACGGACUGCCGUUGCUCUGCGAUACACUCUCAACGAGUCGAGUUGUUUGGGAAUGCAGCUCCMAGUGGGUGGUAAAUGCCAUCUAAAGCUAAAUAUUGGCGAGAGACCGAUAGCGAACAAGUACCGUGAGGGAAAGAUGAAAAGCACUUUGGAAAGAGAGUGAAACAGUACGUGAAAUUGUUGAAAGGGAAACACUUGAAGUCAGUCGCGCCGUUCGGGACUCAGCCUUGCUUCUGCUUGGUUUACUUCCCGUUGGGUGGGUCAACAUCAGUUUUGGUCGGAGGAGAAAGGCCUGUGGAAGGUAGCAGCUUUGCUGUGUUAUAGCCACCUGUUGUAUACUUCGACUGGGACUGAGGAUCGCAGCACGCCUUUGGCCGGGGCUUUGCCCACGUACGUGCUUAGGAUGUUGGCAUAAUGGCUUUAAGUGACCCGUCUUGAAACACGGACCAAGGAGUCUAACAUGUGCGCGAGUGUUUGGGUGUUAAACUCGGACGCGAAAUGAAAGUAACAAGUUGGGAACACUUUUGUGUGCACCGACGCCCGGAGCUGACCUUCUGUGACGCAUCUGCGGUAGAGCGUAUAUGUUGGGACCCGAAAGAUGGUGAACUAUGCCUGAAUAGGGUGAAGCCAGAGGAAACUCUGGUGGAGGCUCGUAGCGAUUCUGACGUGCAAAUCGAUCGUCAAAUUUGGGUAUAGGGGCGAAAGACUAAUCGAACCAUCUAGUAGCUGGUUCCUGCC
RNAcentral lists this ribosomal RNA (754 nucleotides) under uncultured Sebacina. RNAcentral describes it as "partial 28S ribosomal RNA". It matches the Rfam family "Eukaryotic large subunit ribosomal RNA", at positions 216 to 962 of the family's 3401-position model. The record is from RNAcentral. Lineage: Eukaryota; Fungi; Basidiomycota; Agaricomycetes; Sebacinales; Sebacinaceae.